UACGGGGGGGGCAAGCGUUGUUCGGAAUUACUGGGCGUAAAGGGCUCGUAGGCGGCCAACUAAGUCAGACGUGAAAUCCCUCGGCUUAACCGGGGAACUGCAUCUGAUACUGGAUGGCUUGAGAUUGGGAGAGGGAUGCGGAAUUCCAGGUGUAGCGGUGAAAUGCGUAGAUAUCUGGAGGAACACCGGUGGCGAAGGCGGCGUCCUGGACCAACACUGACACUGAUGAGCGAAAGCCAGGGGAGCAAACGGG
Molecule: ribosomal RNA, 253 nt
Filed under: uncultured bacterium
Lineage: Bacteria
Description: partial 16S ribosomal RNA
Rfam family: Bacterial small subunit ribosomal RNA
Source: RNAcentral